Molecule: ribosomal RNA, 528 nt
Filed under: Pseudomonas aeruginosa
Lineage: Bacteria; Pseudomonadati; Pseudomonadota; Gammaproteobacteria; Pseudomonadales; Pseudomonadaceae
Description: bacterial SSU rRNA
Rfam family: Bacterial small subunit ribosomal RNA
Source: RNAcentral
CGCUAAUACCGCAUACGUCCUAGCAGGGAGAAAGUGGGGGAUCUUCGGACCUCACGCUAUCAGAUGAGCCUAGGUCGGAUUAGCUAGUUGGUGGGGUAAAGGCCUACCAAGGCGACGAUCCGUAACUGGUCUGAGAGGAUGAUCAGUCACACUGGAACUGAGACACGGUCCAGACUCCUACGGGAGGCAGCAGUGGGGAAUAUUGGACAAUGGGCGAAAGCCUGAUCCAGCCAUGCCGCGUGUGUGAAGAAGGUCUUCGGAUUGUAAAGCACUUUAAGUUGGGAGGAAGGGCAGUAAGUUAAUACCUUGCUGUUUUGACGUUACCAACAGAAUAAGCACCGGCUAACUUCGUGCCAGCAGCCGCGGUAAUACGAAGGGUGCAAGCGUUAAUCGGAAUUACUGGGCGUAAAGCGCGCGUAGGUGGUUCAUCAAGUUGGAUGUGAAAUCCCCGGGCUCAACCUGGGAACUGCAUCCAAAACUACUGAGCUAGAGUACGGUAGAGGGUGGUGGAAUUUCCUGUGUAGCGGU